GGGCCUUUAGCUCAGUUGGUAGAGCGCCACGUUUACACCGUGGAUGUCAUCGGUUCGAGCCCGGUAGGGCCCACCC
This 76-nucleotide transfer RNA is filed under the name Clavibacter michiganensis. Its description in RNAcentral is "tRNA-Val". It matches the Rfam family "tRNA". From Rfam's summary of the family: Transfer RNA (tRNA) molecules are approximately 80 nucleotides in length. RNAcentral also lists the same sequence under 27 other names. The record is from RNAcentral. Lineage: Bacteria; Bacillati; Actinomycetota; Actinomycetes; Micrococcales; Microbacteriaceae.